CCUGGGCCGGGUCGGAGGGGGAGUGAGCGCGGGUGGCCCCAGGGCCAGCAGGAUGCGGCGGACACUCGCUUCUCGGGCGGCCCCACCCAGUGUCAACAAGAAAUCACUAUGUCCGUGCCUGAGGGUAGUGACACGCAACACCCCCUUAACCUCUCGGAGUGCUUUGCCAAGCUGUCCUGGUCCCCCACUUUGGCUGGGACAUGGGUGCAGAUAGCCAUCAUCAAGAAAGGGAAAUCAAACCUGGUCGACAGCUCCUUUGCUGGGCACAUCUGUGUCCAACAGAUGGUUCAUCGUGACGAACGCCAGCAAAGCCAUUGCAGGGAAUUUGAAGAUUGUGAAUGAGAUGAAUGAUAGCAAGUGUCUGGCUUCCAUCCAUCUGAAUGUAACAGAGCCUGUGCCAACCUCAGCUCCAGUCUCCCAGGUGGCCCUGCUCAGCAACGGGAUGGCAGCAGGGGGUGAGUGACGUGGCUGGGAACGGGCUGCUGAGCUGCUGGGAUCUUCAACUAAUUCUGGCUGCUGCCCGGCGCCCCGGCAGAUUGCCCGGCGCCCCGGCAGAUUGCCCGGCGCCCCGGCAGAUUGCCCUGCCUGGCUCCUGUCAGGCAUGGACAGGCCAGACAGCAAGGAACAGUGCGGUGUCAGCUAGAGGCCAACAAGCAGCCAGGAGGGAGGGUCUCUGUGUUCCCUGGUCCCAGCAGGGCUGGGAGUAGCAGGGUCAGAUCUCCCUCUCCCGCUGAGAGAGCCGUCCAUGGCUUUACAUCCCUUCUCCUUGCCCUACUGGCCGAUGGAGCAGAGUGGGUGGAGCAGAACCUCCAGGUACUGACCGCUUGGCUCCCAACCCCACGUCCGUGCCCAUCUAUGACUUGAUUUCUUGGGUGACACUUUAUAUUGAGGUUCCACAUAGAAGUAAUUUAGAAAGGGUUGAAUGGUGGCUGCAGGGUUUGUCUACACAGGGCCACUCAGGAAAAUUAAUCCGAAUCAUGUCAAAGUGCAGGCUCUGGUCUACACUACAGAGUUAGGUAGAUAUAAGGCAGCUUACGUCACCCUAACUGUGAGUGUCUACACUGAAAGGCAGCUCCCACCCAUGGAAUUCGCUCGCCGAACCGUCAGAAUAACUCCAGCUGCGCGCGAGGCCUAGUGCUUGGGUGGAUGCAGUUAGAUCGAUACAGGGACGGUAACGACAUCGCCUGUUGCUGCCUUUCAGACGCCGUCCCACAAUGCCCCACGCUGGCACAGUGGGGAUGCGCGCUGCCGACACAAGGGGCGCAGUGUGGACAUGCUAAAGGGUUUUAAUUACUGUCCUGUCUGUAUGUCGACAUUACUUCGACUUAAUUUUGUAGUAGAGACUUGCCCUGAAUUUAAAGUGGAUUCGCUAAACCGCAUUGAUCCACCUCCCCAUCUUCCUCCCCCUCCCCCCCGCCCGUUUCGACACUCUUAUUUAGAAUUGAAGUGGCCUGAAUUCAAUUCACUUUGGAAGUGAAUUAAGCUAAAUAGAAUUCAGGCUGCCUUAAUUUUGAAGGAGAGUGUCCACACAGGGGUUUAAUUUGGUUUAACUAAUACAUUUUAAAAGCCAAUUCUGAUUAGUUUUCUUGAGUGGCCCUGUGUAGACAAGCACACUCUUUACCUGUGUGUUUAGCAUGCUGAGACCGCAUAUUCACCAUGUACAAAUGCUUUAUAAACCAGCUAGCAAGUGAACCUUAAUCUAAAGUGUAUGGUGCCUAGCACCCCAGUCUCGGCCCAACACCCCAUAGCGGUAGACACUGUACAAUAUCUAUUAGCUGUGUUACGGUAGCGCCUCGGAGCCCCAGGAAAAUCGGCAAACCCAUGAUUAGCUGGGGACUGUGGAGCGUCUUGAACUGAAAAAUCCCUUUUGCAUGCCGGGAUGGAACACUGAGCAUGGUAGAGAGGCUGGAAAUUUUCGCCUGCUUUGUCCAGCUCUCCCGCUAACGCUGCUCUCCUGUCGUUGGUUGCAGAGCCCGGAUCUCAGUCCAGCCAUAUUGUAGCCGUGGUGGUAGGGACAGUGGUGGCCUUUCUGGUGUUGGUGUUGGCACUGGGGCCAUGGCAGAGAAAUAAGAGAGCUCACUGCAGAGACUGGUUCGGCAGCUGUCUUGGCUUCCUUCCAGCAGGCCGGCGACGCAAACCCCAUGCAGGAGCUGGCAGAGAUGACGCAGCCGGAGGAUGCCAGCGGUGGGGACCGGUCAGCCGUGAUGAGUGGGAAACUUCUCAGCAGCGCUGAAAUGCUAAACACUGCGAGACUGGAGAGUGGGGAGGAAUGAACCCCGUCCCUCAACAUCCACUCAAUGUGCAGCGGCAGUCAAAAAAGAGCCAAUCUUCAUAUAUUCAAUGUACUUGUUUGAUUCUAGGUAGCUUCAAUGAAGCAUUUGGUCAGUUUCUAGAGAAAUGACUAUUUUCAUGUGAAAGUAGGAUGAAUUAUAUUGUAAAAAUAGAAAGGAUUAAAGAAAUGCUGUAUGUACCUUUAAGCAGAAAUAAGGAAUGUUGAAAUACAGGUGUCAGGAAAAGAAACAUUAAGGCAUAAACAAUGAAUCCACUUAAGCUUAUGGUGGAACAUUAACUGGAGAUCUGUAAAAGUUAGUAAGGAAAUUGAAUAUGUAUGUCUAGCCUCAGGUAAACUUGUCAGUUCUGCUUUCUUUGUCCUCUUGUUAAGUUCGCGCCCAUUUUAUCUGUAUAAAAUAAAGUAGUGUGGGUCUUACAUGUGGCUAUGAUCUUGCACAGGAGAACAAAGGGUUUUCCUCCCACAAGAGAGAGAAUAUUAAAGGCCCUAAAAACCCCUCCAUUUGGUCUUCAGCUGGCUCAAAAGAUAACCUCUCCACCCCAAAGAGAUGCCUGAAAGAAACGGGAACAAAGGACCGUAACUAUGGGGGGUGUGAGGGAUUGCUGGACCCAGACUAGGAAGGAGUCUAGUCUGUGAAAGAAGCUUAUUGGAACAUCUCUGAGGGUGAGA
Long non-coding RNA from Terrapene triunguis (Three-toed box turtle), 2959 nucleotides. RefSeq lists it as uncharacterized. The transcript is spliced from 3 exons. Lineage: Eukaryota; Metazoa; Chordata; Testudines; Emydidae. The record is from RefSeq and is a predicted model, not a curated record.